UCAAAUCUGGGGUUUCAUGUUUCAUGCAAGCAUGUAGGUCUACAAAACUUUAUUUAAAAUAUUUGUAAAAUCACAAGCCCCCCUCAUAGACAAAUAAAUGUAUUGUAUGAAAAUAAGAUAUGUAUGUCCUUCUCUUGACCCACACUCCGUAAAGGAGACAAGUCUGAUAAAUCUAGAGUUGACUUGUUUUGAUAUUAUUAGAAUGAACUGGCAAUUUAUGAAAACAUAUCUGGCAUCUCAUAUUGUAAUAUGAUAAUUAUGAUGUUUAUUCACCUCAUUAAGGACCCGGGGGUGGGAGGGUAUGUACAGUUUAAAUAGAAGGUAACUUUAACAAUAUGAAAUAAAUAACAAUCAUGCAGAUGUACUACUACUGCAAGAGUUCACAUUGCUGCCCUGUACACAUUUAACAUACAUGUAGUGUUACAUAUGUAAUACUGAUUUCAGACAAGAUUUUAAAAAUUAACCUAAUAAAAUACAUGUUAUGUGUGUAAUUUUCAAUAUAUCAGCAUUUUAAAGUUCACUAAACAUGCAUUGAGACACACAAUUUUAAAAUUGACAUUGUCUGACACAGUAUAAUUAAUGAUUAAUACUGACUGUGCAAAUAUUAAUUAUGAUGAUUUUUUUCUAAGCAUCAUCCUAAGGACCAGUGCAAGUUGAAAUGGGCUUCCAGCCAACAACUUCAACAGCAAUUUGCCAUGAAAAUCAGCAAGAAAGGUACUUCAUUUACAUUGAUGAUGUCAUAUCCCCUGGACCCCACAACUUUACAGGUUACAGAGAAAAUUCAAGAACUUCUGCAAAAUGUGGGACUUGGAUAGAAUCAAUAAUGUAUUUGUGAGCCCAGAGCAAUGGAUAUAUUGUGCAACAUACUAAAGUGUGAAUUUAAUGGAAAACAAGUACAUGUACUCAUGUAUUACAUGUCUUUUUUAAAGACAAUAAUAUUGUAUAAAUAUA
Long non-coding RNA from Ostrea edulis (European flat oyster), 951 nucleotides. RefSeq lists it as uncharacterized. The transcript is spliced from 2 exons. The record is from RefSeq and is a predicted model, not a curated record. NCBI's taxonomy places the organism in Eukaryota, Metazoa, Mollusca, Bivalvia, Ostreida, Ostreidae.